Molecule: ribosomal RNA, 492 nt
Filed under: uncultured bacterium
Lineage: Bacteria
Description: partial 16S ribosomal RNA
Rfam family: Bacterial small subunit ribosomal RNA
Source: RNAcentral
AGUGAACGCUGGCGGUAGGCCUAACACAUGCAAGUCGAACGGCAGCACAGUAAGAGCUUGCUCUUACGGGUGGCGAGUGGCGGACGGGUGAGGAAUACAUCGGAAUCUACUUUUUCGUGGGGGAUAACGUAGGGAAACUUACGCUAAUACCGCAUACGACCUACGGGUGAAAGCAGGGGAUCUUCGGACCUUGCGCGAUUGAAUGAGCCGAUGUCGGAUUAGCUAGUUGGCGGGGUAAAGGCCCACCAAGGCGACGAUCCGUAGCUGGUCUGAGAGGAUGAUCAGCCACACUGGAACUGAGACACGGUCCAGACUCCUACGGGAGGCAGCAGUGGGGAAUAUUGGACAAUGGGCGCAAGCCUGAUCCAGCCAUACCGCGUGGGUGAAGAAGACCUUCGGGUUGUAAAGCCCUUUUGUUGGGAAAGAAAAGCAGUAGGUUAAUACCCCGCUGUUCUGACGGUACCCAAAGAAUAAGCACCGGCUAACUUCGUG